UCUUUCAUACCAUUGCUCAAUUGAAACGUAAAAUUAUCGGUUAGUGUGGAAGAAAAUUAUGAGUCAUGGAAAGAACGUCUUUUGGAAAAGGAAUGAUCGGAGAAUAGAGAGUUAGAGGACGCACUGUGAGGAAUACUCCAAUUAUUUACAGAGGAACCAGGACGUUGAAGUCCCGUUUGUUCCCUUUGCGUAUCGUUCCAAUCUAACA
This is a non-coding RNA of Schizosaccharomyces pombe (fission yeast), 208 nucleotides long. NCBI's taxonomy places the organism in Eukaryota, Fungi, Ascomycota, Schizosaccharomycetes, Schizosaccharomycetales, Schizosaccharomycetaceae. The record is from the annotation of a GenBank genome assembly.